UACGUAGGGUGCAAGCGUUGUCCGGAAUUAUUGGGCGUAAAGAGCUCGUAGGCGGUUUGUCGCGUCUGGUGUGAAAAUCCAGGGCUUAACCCUGGACCUGCAUCGGGUACGGGCAGACUAGAGUGCGGUAGGGGAGAUCGGAAUUCCUGGUGUAGCCGUGAAAUGCGCAGAUAUCAGGAGGAACACCGGUGGCGAAGGCGGAUCUCUGGGCCGUAACUGACGCUGAGGAGCGAAAGCAUGGGGAGCGAACAGG
This 253-nucleotide ribosomal RNA is filed under the name uncultured bacterium. Its description in RNAcentral is "partial 16S ribosomal RNA". It matches the Rfam family "Bacterial small subunit ribosomal RNA", at positions 524 to 776 of the family's 1533-position model. The record is from RNAcentral.